This 849-nucleotide ribosomal RNA is filed under the name Pseudomonas sp. Its description in RNAcentral is "bacterial SSU rRNA". It matches the Rfam family "Bacterial small subunit ribosomal RNA", at positions 54 to 897 of the family's 1533-position model. The record is from RNAcentral. Lineage: Bacteria; Pseudomonadati; Pseudomonadota; Gammaproteobacteria; Pseudomonadales; Pseudomonadaceae.
CNUGCAGUCGAGCGGAUGACAGGAGCUUGCUCCUGAAUUCAGCGGCGGACGGGUGAGUAAUGCCUAGGAAUCUGCCUGGUAGUGGGGGACAACGUUUCGAAAGGAACGCUAAUACCGCAUACGUCCUACGGGAGAAAGCAGGGGACCUUCGGGCCUUGCGCUAUCAGAUGAGCCUAGGUCGGAUUAGCUAGUUGGUGAGGUAAUGGCUCACCAAGGCGACGAUCCGUAACUGGUCUGAGAGGAUGAUCAGUCACACUGGAACUGAGACACGGUCCAGACUCCUACGGGAGGCAGCAGUGGGGAAUAUUGGACAAUGGGCGAAAGCCUGAUCCAGCCAUGCCGCGUGUGUGAAGAAGGUCUUCGGAUUGUAAAGCACUUUAAGUUGGGAGGAAGGGCAUUAACCUAAUACGUUAGUGUUUUGACGUUACCGACAGAAUAAGCACCGGCUAACUCUGUGCCAGCAGCCGCGGUAAUACAGAGGGUGCAAGCGUUAAUCGGAAUUACUGGGCGUAAAGCGCGCGUAGGUGGUUCGUUAAGUUGGAUGUGAAAGCCCCGGGCUCAACCUGGGAACUGCAUUCAAAACUGACGAGCUAGAGUAUGGUAGAGGGUGGUGGAAUUUCCUGUGUAGCGGUGAAAUGCGUAGAUAUAGGAAGGAACACCAGUGGCGAAGGCGACCACCUGGACUGAUACUGACACUGAGGUGCGAAAAGCGUGGGGAGCAAACAGGAUUAGAUACCCUGGUAGUCCACGCCGUAAACGAUGUCAACUAGCCGUUGGGAGCCUUGAGCUCUUANUGGCGCANNUAACGCAUUAAGUUUGANCGCCUGGGGAGUACNGCCGCAAGGUUNA